UUUGCACUGUGAGGGACAUACGACCAGCUCCUUCUGAACUCCCCCAGGGCAGAAAUGCAGCAAGGGUAGGAGGUUGAGCGGUGCGGUGUGUUUCCUCACAUUUC
Molecule: non-coding RNA, 104 nt
Organism: Bacteroidetes bacterium OLB9
Lineage: Bacteria; Pseudomonadati; Bacteroidota
Source: Rfam